UUCCCCCGUAGUAUGCUCUGGUUACCAGCCAAACAGACGUUGGGUUCUUGUAAGUCUAUUAAUGUAUAAGCAAGAACACUAAUUACUGAUAUAACCGGUAUAACUUGCUGCAAAUUGUGAACAAGUAAAGUAGUAGUUAGAAGUUUUUAAAGUUCCUAUAAACAGAAAUGAGUUUUGGCUGGUAAGCAUCCGUGCAUGCACUAAACAGAAGCAGGUUUUUGAGUAUUGUUAGGUACUAGCAUAUGGACUCUUUCGUCCAUGCCAGCAUCCAGACAUUCUGAAAUGCAAUCUAUGAUGCUCGGUGAAACUUCAUUCGUGUCUUGUGGGAAUCGUAUCUAAAAUGAGAAAGCAUCAUCUGUUAAGCUCCCUUGGGCCUUCUUUUGUAUUGUUCACAAUUUGUAUAGAGAAAAUCUUGUAUACAUUGACGUUGUAUAUGUUAUCAUGGUUAGAUGCAUAAAACAUAUGCAAAAUUUGGAUUUGAAGUUCAAAUUUAGAUUUUUUGCCGUGCAUCCAAACUUGGCAGUAUAUAAAGAUUAAUCCUUUUGUUUAAUGUACAUUGCUUGUCAAUUUUGACAGAAGUAUAUGUCCAAUAAUGCCUUCACAGAACACGUCUAUUUUAAGUUGCGUGGGGUGGGCUGGCUCUGGCUGGUCCUCCUAUUCUUCUGUUACCGAAGCAUAACACCCAAGGAAGACGUAACAAAUGGGACUUCAUGAUUAGCCUUUUCAUGCUUCCCCAGAUGAUAUGUGCCCCUGAUUUAUGAUGUGCUUGCUUAUGGUGUUCUGCAGGGGAAAGUGUCAUGUGAGGUUAAUGUAAAUAUCCACAAUCAGACAAUCGAGCACCAAAACUGUUACCCUGAGUGAUUAUGAUUAAGCUUGGAGACCACAUGCAGCGGCUCCAGAGUUGGCUUUGACAAACUCCCGUUCCUCAUUUAGUAUAGAGGUCUACGAUGAGUGAGAGAUUUGGGUUUGGAUCCCCUGUUUUAGCGUCUUUACUACUAGAUUAUGGCGUAUUACAUUCCCUACAGCUACGGGGAAAAAAAAAAUUAAGGAUGAUGCUGCAGCAUAUGUAUCACGUAUAAACUACGUUGGAUUUGCCUGUAUAUAAACCUUGUGUAGACUAGCAGUGUAUAAUUUCUAAUAGAAACCACCAGUUUGUCUA
Molecule: non-coding RNA, 1159 nt
Organism: Coffea arabica (coffee)
Lineage: Eukaryota; Viridiplantae; Streptophyta; Magnoliopsida; Gentianales; Rubiaceae
Source: RefSeq, a predicted model, not a curated record